This 2544-nucleotide ribosomal RNA is filed under the name Escherichia coli. RNAcentral's name for it is "bacterial LSU rRNA". It matches the Rfam family "Bacterial large subunit ribosomal RNA", at positions 418 to 2925 of the family's 2925-position model. The record is from RNAcentral. Lineage: Bacteria; Pseudomonadati; Pseudomonadota; Gammaproteobacteria; Enterobacterales; Enterobacteriaceae.
CGGGACACGUGGUAUCCUGUCUGAAUAUGGGGGGACCAUCCUCCAAGGCUAAAUACUCCUGACUGACCGAUAGUGAACCAGUACCGUGAGGGAAAGGCGAAAAGAACCCCGGCGAGGGGAGUGAAAAAGAACCUGAAACCGUGUACGUACAAGCAGUGGGAGCACGCUUAGGCGUGUGACUGCGUACCUUUUGUAUAAUGGGUCAGCGACUUAUAUUCUGUAGCAAGGUUAACCGAAUAGGGGAGCCGAAGGGAAACCGAGUCUUAACUGGGCGUUAAGUUGCAGGGUAUAGACCCGAAACCCGGUGAUCUAGCCAUGGGCAGGUUGAAGGUUGGGUAACACUAACUGGAGGACCGAACCGACUAAUGUUGAAAAAUUAGCGGAUGACUUGUGGCUGGGGGUGAAAGGCCAAUCAAACCGGGAGAUAGCUGGUUCUCCCCGAAAGCUAUUUAGGUAGCGCCUCGUGAAUUCAUCUCCGGGGGUAGAGCACUGUUUCGGCAAGGGGGUCAUCCCGACUUACCAACCCGAUGCAAACUGCGAAUACCGGAGAAUGUUAUCACGGGAGACACACGGCGGGUGCUAACGUCCGUCGUGAAGAGGGAAACAACCCAGACCGCCAGCUAAGGUCCCAAAGUCAUGGUUAAGUGGGAAACGAUGUGGGAAGGCCCAGACAGCCAGGAUGUUGGCUUAGAAGCAGCCAUCAUUUAAAGAAAGCGUAAUAGCUCACUGGUCGAGUCGGCCUGCGCGGAAGAUGUAACGGGGCUAAACCAUGCACCGAAGCUGCGGCAGCGACGCUGAUGCGUUGUUGGGUAGGGGAGCGUUCUGUAAGCCUGUGAAGGUGUGCUGUGAGGCAUGCUGGAGGUAUCAGAAGUGCGAAUGCUGACAUAAGUAACGAUAAAGCGGGUGAAAAGCCCGCUCGCCGGAAGACCAAGGGUUCCUGUCCAACGUUAAUCGGGGCAGGGUGAGUCGACCCCUAAGGCGAGGCCGAAAGGCGUAGUCGAUGGGAAACAGGUUAAUAUUCCUGUACUUGGUGUUACUGCGAAGGGGGGACGGAGAAGGCUAUGUUGGCCGGGCGACGGUUGUCCCGGUUUAAGCGUGUAGGCUGGUUUUCCAGGCAAAUCCGGAAAAUCAAGGCUGAGGCGUGAUGACGAGGCACUACGGUGCUGAAGCAACAAAUGCCCUGCUUCCAGGAAAAGCCUCUAAGCAUCAGGUAACAUCAAAUCGUACCCCAAACCGACACAGGUGGUCAGGUAGAGAAUACCAAGGCGCUUGAGAGAACUCGGGUGAAGGAACUAGGCAAAAUGGUGCCGUAACUUCGGGAGAAGGCACGCUGAUAUGUAGGUGAAGCGACUUGCUCGUGGAGCUGAAAUCAGUCGAAGAUACCAGCUGGCUGCAACUGUUUAUUAAAAACACAGCACUGUGCAAACACGAAAGUGGACGUAUACGGUGUGACGCCUGCCCGGUGCCGGAAGGUUAAUUGAUGGGGUCAGCGCAAGCGAAGCUCUUGAUCGAAGCCCCGGUAAACGGCGGCCGUAACUAUAACGGUCCUAAGGUAGCGAAAUUCCUUGUCGGGUAAGUUCCGACCUGCACGAAUGGCGUAAUGAUGGCCAGGCUGUCUCCACCCGAGACUCAGUGAAAUUGAACUCGCUGUGAAGAUGCAGUGUACCCGCGGCAAGACGGAAAGACCCCGUGAACCUUUACUAUAGCUUGACACUGAACAUUGAGCCUUGAUGUGUAGGAUAGGUGGGAGGCUUUGAAGUGUGGACGCCAGUCUGCAUGGAGCCGGCCUUGAAAUACCACCCUUUAAUGUUUGAUGUUCUAACGUUGACCCGUGAUCCGGGUUGCGGACAGUGUCUGGUGGGUAGUUUGACUGGGGCGGUCUCCUCCUAAAGAGUAACGGAGGAGCACGAAGGUUGGCUAAUCCUGGUCGGACAUCAGGAGGUUAGUGCAAUGGCAUAAGCCAGCUUGACUGCGAGCGUGACGGCGCGAGCAGGUGCGAAAGCAGGUCAUAGUGAUCCGGUGGUUCUGAAUGGAAGGGCCAUCGCUCAACGGAUAAAAGGUACUCCGGGGAUAACAGGCUGAUACCGCCCAAGAGUUCAUAUCGACGGCGGUGUUUGGCACCUCGAUGUCGGCUCAUCACAUCCUGGGGCUGAAGUAGGUCCCAAGGGUAUGGCUGUUCGCCAUUUAAAGUGGUACGCGAGCUGGGUUUAGAACGUCGUGAGACAGUUCGGUCCCUAUCUGCCGUGGGCGCUGGAGAACUGAGGGGGGCUGCUCCUAGUACGAGAGGACCGGAGUGGACGCAUCACUGGUGUUCGGGUUGUCAUGCCAAUGGCACUGCCCGGUAGCUAAAUGCGGAAGAGAUAAGUGCUGAAAGCAUCUAAGCACGAAACUUGCCCCGAGAUGAGUUCUCCCUGACUCCUUGAGAGUCCUGAAGGAACGUUGAAGACGACGACGUUGAUAGGCCGGGUGUGUAAGCGCAGCGAUGCGUUGAGCUAACCGGUACUAAUGAACCGUGAGGCUUAACCUUACAACGCCGAAGCUGUU